UAAGCAUGUUGAACAAACUCAACAUCAAGACCUUACGGGUGUCCCUGAGAGUGGAGUAAGACCUAAUACCUCCCGCAGCUCUUCGAAGAUGGAAAAACCAAAAAGGAGACUUUUGCCUAAAUCAUCCAUUCUAGUCAGGGAAAUCAGCACCUAUGAUGCUGAUGAGAUUGACAAACCAGAGGGAAACGGAGGUGGGAAGAACUUGGCUGCUUCUGAGAGGCAAAGAACUCAGGGCAGCAUUUCUCUCCUACCCUUACUUAAGAAUAAUCUUCAUCUCUAGUUUAGCACCUUUUAUUGCUUUAAAUAAAGCUUGCUCAUUUUGUAUAGAUGUCCCCGUUUUGAGUUUUUUUUAAAGGUUCUAUAGCCAAGUAUAAGCAUGCAAUGGGUAUUGUUUGCUUAAUGGUCUGUACUUCUGAAAGCUUACUGCCGAUGGGACCUCCUGAAGUUGAAUGUCAAUGAUCUCUUUGGGGCAAAUACACAAAAUAUAUAGUUUAAAUUUUAAUUCUUAA
Hibiscus syriacus is the source of this 509-nucleotide long non-coding RNA. RefSeq lists it as uncharacterized. The record is from RefSeq and is a predicted model, not a curated record. NCBI's taxonomy places the organism in Eukaryota, Viridiplantae, Streptophyta, Magnoliopsida, Malvales, Malvaceae. The transcript is spliced from 3 exons.